CUACGGGACGCUGCAGUGGGGAAUCCUGCACAAUGGAGGAAACUCUGAUGCAGCGAUGCCGCGUGAGUGAAGAAGGCCCUUGGGUUGUAAAGCUCUUUCGUCGGGGAAGAAAAUGACUGUACCCGAAUAAGAAGGUCCGGCUAACUUCGUGCCAGCAGCCGCGGUAAUACGAAGGGACCUAGCGUAGUUCGGAAUUACUGGGCUUAAAGAGUUCGUAGGUGGUUGAAAAGUUAGUGGUGAAAUCCCAGAGCUUAACUCUGGAACUGCCAUUAAAGCUUUUCAGCUAGAGUAUGAUAGAGGAAAGCAGAAUUUCUAGUGUAGAGGUGAAAUUCGUAGAUAUUAGAAAGAAUACCAAUUGCGAAGGCAGCUUUCUGGAUCAUUACUGACACUGAGGAACGAAAGCAUGGGUAGCGAAGAGGAUUAGAUACCCUCGUAGUC
Molecule: ribosomal RNA, 438 nt
Filed under: uncultured bacterium
Lineage: Bacteria
Description: partial 16S ribosomal RNA
Rfam family: Bacterial small subunit ribosomal RNA
Source: RNAcentral